RNAcentral lists this ribosomal RNA (600 nucleotides) under uncultured bacterium. RNAcentral describes it as "bacterial SSU rRNA". The stretch from base 1 to 519 matches the Rfam family "Bacterial small subunit ribosomal RNA", at positions 338 to 873 of the family's 1533-position model. The record is from RNAcentral.
CCUACGGGAGGCAGCAGUUAGGAAUUUUGGGCAAUGGGCGAAAGCCUGACCCAGCAACGCCGCGUGGGUGACGAAGGCCUUCGGGUUGUAAAGCCCUUUUCUGAGGGAAGAUGAUGACGGUACCUCAGGAAUAAGCACCGGCUAACUACGUGCCAGCAGCCGCGGUAAUACGUAGGGUGCAAGCGUUGCCCGGAUUUAUUGGGCGUAAAGGGCGCGCAGGCGGCUACGCACGUCCGUUGUGAAAUCGCUCGGCUCAACUGGGCGGGGUCAGCGGAUACGGCGUAGCUGGAGCAAGCUAGGGGGCAAUGGAAUUCCCGGUGUAGUGGUGGAAUGCGUAGAUAUCGGGAGGAACACCAGUGGCGAAGGCGGUUGCCUGGAGCUUUGCUGACGCUGAGGCGCGAAAGCGUGGGGAGCGAUCCGGAUUAGAUACCCGGGUAGUCCACGCCGUAAACGAUGUCGACUAGGUGUCGGGGUAUCCGACCCCCGUCGGCGCCGCACGCUACGCAUAAGUCGACCGCCGUCGGGUACGUACGGCCGCGAGACGUAAACUACAAGAAUAGACGGCGNGAGACGNGCCGACGGCGACGACGAGGGAGUAGG